Molecule: ribosomal RNA, 456 nt
Filed under: uncultured bacterium
Lineage: Bacteria
Description: bacterial SSU rRNA
Rfam family: Bacterial small subunit ribosomal RNA
Source: RNAcentral
AUUGAACGCUGGCGGCAGGCCUAACACAUGCAAGUCGAACGGUAACAGGAAACAGCUUGCUGUUUCGCUGACGAGUGGCGGACGGGUGAGUAAUGUCUGGGAAACUGCCUGAUGGAGGGGGAUAACUACUGGAAACGGUAGCUAAUACCGCAUAACGUCGCAAGACCAAAGAGGGGGACCUUCGGGCCUCUUGCCAUCGGAUGUGCCCAGAUGGGAUUAGCUAGUAGGUGGGGUAACGGCUCACCUAGGCGACGAUCCCUAGCUGGUCUGAGAGGAUGACCAGCCACACUGGAACUGAGACACGGUCCAGACUCCUACGGGAGGCAGCAGUGGGGAAUAUUGCACAAUGGGCGCAAGCCUGAUGCAGCCAUGCCGCGUGAGUGAAGAAGUAUUCGGUAUGUAAAGCUCUAUCAGCAGGAAGAAAAUGACGUACCUGACUAAGAAGCCCGCGUAACU